AGCGAACGCUGGCGGCAGGCUUAACACAUGCAAGUCGAACGGUCCUUCGGGAUAGUGGCGGACGGGUGAGUAACACGUGGGAACGUACCCUUAGGUUCGGAACAACACAGGGAAACUUGUGCUAAUACCGGAUAAGCCCUUCGGGGGAAAGAUUUAUCGCCUUUGGAGCGGCCCGCGUCUGAUUAGCUUGUCGGUGAGGUAAUGGCUCACCAAGGCUACGAUCAGUAGCUGGUCUGAGAGGAUGGCCAGCCACACUGGGACUGAGACACGGCCCAGACUCCUACGGGAGGCAGCAGUGGGGAAUCUUGCGCAAUGGGCGAAAGCCUGACGCAGCCAUGCCGCGUGGAUGAUGAAGGUCUUAGGAUUGUAAAAUCCUUUCACCGGGGACGAUAAUGACGGUACCCGGAGAAGAAGCCCCGGCUAACUUCGUGCAGCCGCCGCGGUAA
This 446-nucleotide ribosomal RNA is filed under the name uncultured bacterium. RNAcentral's name for it is "partial 16S ribosomal RNA". It matches the Rfam family "Bacterial small subunit ribosomal RNA", at positions 29 to 523 of the family's 1533-position model. The record is from RNAcentral.